Molecule: unclassified non-coding RNA, 288 nt
Filed under: Hevea brasiliensis (rubber tree)
Lineage: Eukaryota; Viridiplantae; Streptophyta; Magnoliopsida; Malpighiales; Euphorbiaceae
Source: RNAcentral
UAGGCCCACGCCGCCUGCUUGACGAGGCGAUUGCGGAUGGAGAUAUUACGCGAGGCGGAACCACAGGCGGAGGCAGCGGCGGUAGGAGAGUUGACGGCGGUGGAAGGGAGGAUGUCCUUAAGAGAAGUGUAAGAUAAGGAAGAUUUGAAAGAUGCCAACUCGAAGGCAAGUGGUGGAGAGGAGACGAAGCCGUUGCCGCGUGUGUGGUGAGAAGGGAGGCUGGAGGUGUAGAGAGGUUUGGCUGGGAGAGUGAGUUUAGUGGGGAUGACAACAAAUGUUGCAUUGAAG